Ochotona curzoniae (black-lipped pika) is the source of this 123-nucleotide small nucleolar RNA. RefSeq annotates it as small nucleolar RNA SNORA31. The transcript has a single exon. The record is from RefSeq and is a predicted model, not a curated record. NCBI's taxonomy places the organism in Eukaryota, Metazoa, Chordata, Mammalia, Lagomorpha, Ochotonidae.
CUGUUUCCACUGACAGACCUUCAACAAUUCACUGUUGUUUUUUUGGCUUACACUAGGAUGUGAAAGAUAAAUUCCUGAGCUGUCUUUAUGGCAGCCCAGAUUGAGAAAUUGAGAAAUACAUUU